UAAUUGGGUGCUAAAAGAAUGAAAUUACAAAAAAAGACUUUCUUAAUUUUAAUAAUUAAAAUUAUUUUUUUUUGUGAAGAAACAAAAAUAAAAAUUAAAGACAAGAAGACCCUAAGAAUUUUCUUUUUUACUUAAUAUAAAAUAUUUUAUUUAAAAAUUUAAUUGGGGCGAUUAAUGAAUAUUAAUAACUUUAUAAAGAAAUAAAAUGAUCCAUUAUUAAUGAUUAUUUGAUUAAAAUACUCUAGGGAUAACAGCGUAAUAAUUUUUGAUAGUUCUUAUAGAAAAAAUAGUUUGCGACCUCGAUGUUGGAUUAGGAUUCUUUUUUAAUGAANAAGUUAAAAAA
This 343-nucleotide ribosomal RNA is filed under the name Amblyomma rotundatum. RNAcentral's name for it is "partial large subunit ribosomal RNA". The record is from RNAcentral. Lineage: Eukaryota; Metazoa; Arthropoda; Arachnida; Ixodida; Ixodidae.